GUGAGGAAUAUUGGUCAAUGGGCGAGAGCCUGAACCAGCCAAGUCGCGUGAAGGAAGACGGCCCUACGGGUUGUAAACUUCUUUUGCAAUGGAAUAAAAAGAGUUACGUGUAAUUCAUUGUAUGUACAUUGCGAAUAAGGAUCGGCUAACUCCGUGCCAGCAGCCGCGGUAAUACGGAGGAUCCGAGCGUUAUCCGGAUUUAUUGGGUUUAAAGGGUGCGUAGGCGGAUUGGUAAGUCAGCGGUGAAAGUUUGCAGCUUAACUGUAAAAUUGCCAUUGAAACUGUCAGUCUUGAGUGCAAAUGAGGUAGGCGGAAUGUGUUGUGUAGCGGUGAAAUGCAUAGAUAUAACACAGAACACCAAUUGCGAAGGCAGCAUACUGGGAUGCAACUGACGCUGAGGCACGAAAGCGUGGGGAUCAAACAGGAUUAGAUACCCUAGUAGUCC
This 445-nucleotide ribosomal RNA is filed under the name uncultured bacterium. RNAcentral describes it as "partial 16S ribosomal RNA". It matches the Rfam family "Bacterial small subunit ribosomal RNA", at positions 354 to 796 of the family's 1533-position model. The record is from RNAcentral.